UGCCAGCAGCCGCGGUAAUACGGAGGGGGUUAGCGUUGUUCGGAAUUACUGGGCGUAAAGCGCACGUAGGCGGAUUAGAAAGUUGGGGGUGAAAUCCCGAGGCUCAACCUCGGAACUGCCCUCAAUACUACCAGUCUAGAGUUCGGGAGAGGUGAGUGGAAUUCCUAGUGUAGAGGUGAAAUUCGUAGAUAUUAGGAAGAACACCAGUGGCGAAGGCGGCUCACUGGACCGAUACUGACGCUGAGGAGCGAAAGCGUGGGGAGCAAACAGGAUUAGAUA
RNAcentral lists this ribosomal RNA (279 nucleotides) under uncultured bacterium. Its description in RNAcentral is "partial 16S ribosomal RNA". It matches the Rfam family "Bacterial small subunit ribosomal RNA", at positions 506 to 784 of the family's 1533-position model. The record is from RNAcentral.